UACAGAGGGGGCAAGCGUUAUUCGGAAUUAUUGGGCGUAAAGGGCGCGUAGGCGGCCAUUCAAGUGACGGGUGAAAGCCCUCGGCUUAACCGAGGAACUGCCUGUCAGACUGGAUGGCUUGAGACCGGGAGAGGUGAGUGGAAUUCCCAGUGUAGCGGUGAAAUGCGUAGAUAUUGGGAGGAACACCAGUGGCGAAGGCGGCUCACUGGACCGGAACUGACGCUGAGGCGCGAAAGCGUGGGGAGCAAACAGGG
This 254-nucleotide ribosomal RNA is filed under the name uncultured bacterium. Its description in RNAcentral is "partial 16S ribosomal RNA". It matches the Rfam family "Bacterial small subunit ribosomal RNA", at positions 524 to 777 of the family's 1533-position model. The record is from RNAcentral.